GUGAAGGUCCAGUCAUCACUGGUGCACGUGUAUCUUAUCUGUGAUCAACACCGGCAGCCACAGACUCCUGCCCAAGGAACGAACACAGUGAUCGUGAUGACAUUGACAACAACGAGCAAGUCCUCCUAGACCUAGAGUGACCUCAAGCUGGGCCAAACAUGAUGUGGAAGAAGAAAUCAGUUGUCUCCAUCAGUCGGGUUUGUGCCAUGGCAGCUUUCUCCAGCUGUCCGGCAGAGGUCCAGUCCAUGCCAUGGAGAAAUUCAGCCCCCAACAAUGAGAUGGCAUGCCAGAGAUGGAUCCGCAGCUUCUCCUCCAAUCAGUCAAUCCUUGCAAUGCCCUUUCUCUUUUCUCUUCUUCUGUACCACCAUGCUUACACAUAACUGAUCCAAGGUACUUAAACUCGUUAACCUCCUCCAUUUCUUCACCAUUCAAAAUUAUUUGGCAUUCUUUUUCACAUUCAAUGCCCACUCUAUAUGGGCAUACAAACUCUACAACCUCCCUUCUACUCCGCUCACAAACCAUCACUACUUUUGUUGACAUUUACUUUCAACUUUCUCCUUUUACAUACACUAUCAAAAACACUGACCAAAUUUUGUAAGUCACUUUCAUUUUCUGCAUUGAGCACCGUGUCAUCAGCAAAUAAGAUUGAAUUCAUCACCCACUUCCCUCCCUCCCUCAGCAUACAUUUUUACUUCAAUUUCCCCAACUUUGCCCUUCAUUUCUCAUAACACCAUCCAUAUAAAUAUUGAACAACCAUGAUGACAUAUAUAUCUUUAAGACGUCCCACAAUGCCAGCCAAUCGACUCUGUCAUAAACUUUCUUUAGAAUAACUAGAUCCAUGAAGGCAGCAUAGUAUUUUUUCCUUUUGCUAAUAUUUUUUCUAAUAAAACACCAUACUGAAGGAAAAUAUCUGAUCCACACAUCCUCUUCCCUUCCUAAAGUCUCCUUGUUCUUCACUGAUUUUCUCUUCUGUAAGUCUUUGCGCAGUCUCAAUUAGGACUUUUCCAUAUACCUUUCCAGGUAGCCUACACUCAGCAGACUUAUACCCCUACAACUCCCACCUCCCCUCUCCUGCCCUUCCCCUUGUAAACUGGGACCAUGAUGGCUUUUGUCAAGUCUGCUGGGACCUCCCCCCCCCCUUCCCAGGCCACUUCACAUAUCUUGACCAUUCAUAUAGUAACUUCAUCUCCACACUUCAACAUUUCUGCUGUGAUUCCUCUCAAUUCAUUCAUCAUCAUCA
Eriocheir sinensis (Chinese mitten crab) is the source of this 1240-nucleotide long non-coding RNA. RefSeq lists it as uncharacterized. The transcript is spliced from 3 exons. The record is from RefSeq and is a predicted model, not a curated record. NCBI's taxonomy places the organism in Eukaryota, Metazoa, Arthropoda, Malacostraca, Decapoda, Varunidae.